This 201-nucleotide ribosomal RNA is filed under the name Staphylococcus aureus. RNAcentral's name for it is "partial 23S ribosomal RNA". It matches the Rfam family "Bacterial large subunit ribosomal RNA", at positions 1102 to 1307 of the family's 2925-position model. The record is from RNAcentral. Lineage: Bacteria; Bacillati; Bacillota; Bacilli; Caryophanales; Staphylococcaceae.
UGGCUUAGAAGCAGCCAUCAUUUAAAGAGUGCGUAAUAGCUCACUAGUCGAGUGACACUGCGCCGAAAAUGUACCGGGGCUAAACAUAUUACCGAAGCUGUGGAUUGUCCUUUGGACAAUGGUAGGAGAGCGUUCUAAGGGCGUUGAAGCAUGAUCGUAAGGACAUGUGGAGCGCUUAGAAGUGAGAAUGCCGGUGUGAGU